This 332-nucleotide ribosomal RNA is filed under the name uncultured bacterium. Its description in RNAcentral is "bacterial SSU rRNA". It matches the Rfam family "Bacterial small subunit ribosomal RNA", at positions 568 to 898 of the family's 1533-position model. The record is from RNAcentral.
UGCGUAGGCGGUGCGGUAAGUCUGUUGUGAAAUCUCCGGGCUCAACUCGGAGCCUGCAACGGAAACUGCCGUGCUGGAGUAUGGGAGAGGUGAGUGGAAUUCCCGGUGUAGCGGUGAAAUGCGUAGAUAUCGGGAGGAAGACCUGUGGCGAAAGCGGCUCACUGGACCAUUACUGACGCUGAUGCACGAAAGCUAGGGGAGCAAACAGGAUUAGAUACCCUGGUAGUCCUAGCCCUAAACGAUGAUCGCUUGGUGUGACAGGUACCCAAUCCUGUUGUGCCGGAGCUAACGCGUUAAGCGAUCCGCCUGGAGAGUACGGUCGCAAGGCUGAA